GAAGUGGAAUUGGUGUUAAAACUUGGUUUGUUGUGUUCGCAUUCAGUGCCUGAAGUUAGACCAAGUAUGCGCCAAGUUCUGCAAUUCUUAGAUCGGGAUAUUCCUCUUCCAGAAUUGUCAUCACUUGGCCUCUCUUCAAGUGGCCUAACAUUUGCACACCCUGAAGGUUUUAGCGAUUUUGCCAUGUCCUAUCCAUCUUCCAUGAACCUGGCAUUCUCGCAUUCAUCUUCUGUAGCA
Molecule: unclassified non-coding RNA, 237 nt
Filed under: Hevea brasiliensis (rubber tree)
Lineage: Eukaryota; Viridiplantae; Streptophyta; Magnoliopsida; Malpighiales; Euphorbiaceae
Source: RNAcentral